RNAcentral lists this ribosomal RNA (245 nucleotides) under uncultured bacterium. RNAcentral describes it as "partial 16S ribosomal RNA". It matches the Rfam family "Bacterial small subunit ribosomal RNA", at positions 524 to 768 of the family's 1533-position model. The record is from RNAcentral.
GACGAAGGUGGCGAGCGUUGUUCGGAAUCACUGGGCUUAAAGCGCACGUAGGCGGCUCGUCAAGUGUCUUGUGAAAUCCCCCGGCCCAACCGGGGAAUCGCUUGGCAAACUGACGGGCUUGAGGCAGGUAUGGGUACAUGGAACUCUUGGUGGAGCGGUGAAAUGCGUAGAUAUCAAGAGGAACGCCGAUGGUGAAGACAGUGUACUGGGCCUGUCCUGACGCUGAGGUGCGAAAGCCAGGGGAG